UGGUUGAAGGUUAGGGUUAAGGUUAGGGUUAGGUAUAGUUAGUAGAAUGGUUAAGGUUAGGGUUAAGGUUAGGGUUAGGUAUAGUUAGUAGAAUGGUUGAAGGUUAGGGUUAGGUAUAGUUAGUAGAAUGGUUGAAGGUUAGGGUUAGGUAUAGUUAGUAGAAUGGUUGAAGGUUAGGGUUAGGUAUAGUUAGUAGAAUGGUUGAAGGUUAGGGUAAGGUAUAGUUAGUAGAAUGGUUGAAGGUUAGGGUUAGGUAUAGUUAGUAGAAUGGUUGAAGGUUAGGAUUAAGGUUAGGGUUAGGUAUAGUUAGUAGAAUGGUUGAGGUUAGGGUAAGGUAUAGUUAGUAGAAUGGUUGAAGGUUAGGGUAAGGUAUAGUUAGUAGAAUGGUUGAAGGUUAGGGUUAGGUAUAGUUAGUAGAAUGGUUGAAGGUUAGGGUAAGGUAUAGUUAGUAGAAUGGUUGAAGGUUAGGGUAAGGUUAGGGUAAGGUUAGGUAAGGUAUAGUCGCGUAUAUGGUUGUUGCAAAGGCUUGUGUGCCUACUGGUUAAAUGUGUGUAUUUUCGCACAAAUUGAACCACACAAAAAUGCACAAAAAACGCACGAAAUCUGCUGAAAUACAUUUUGUACAUAUAUGCGCGAAUUGGAUGUGAGGCUGGGCUGGCUCAGAGCGUGCUGGAUAGGAUGGGCCACAGGAAACGACCGCACAUCCAGGUUUGAAUACCGUUCAGAGUGAAUGAUAUAAACCGUUUUCAUUUCUAGUUCCCCUUUCCAUAUCAACCGCAGAUCAUCAUAUGACUCGAAACUAAGUGUGACUGUGAGACAGGACAAAAUGGCACCCUGUUCCCUUCCCAGUGCACUACUUUGCACCACAGGGCCCCCGGGGCUCUGUAGGGAAUAGGGUGCCAUUAGGAACGUACACCAGAAUGUGUAACACGUCUGUGGUUUCUAUUAUCU
Molecule: long non-coding RNA, 951 nt
Organism: Oncorhynchus keta (chum salmon)
Lineage: Eukaryota; Metazoa; Chordata; Actinopteri; Salmoniformes; Salmonidae
Exons: 4
Source: RefSeq, a predicted model, not a curated record